Molecule: ribosomal RNA, 253 nt
Filed under: uncultured bacterium
Lineage: Bacteria
Description: partial 16S ribosomal RNA
Rfam family: Bacterial small subunit ribosomal RNA
Source: RNAcentral
GACGAACCGUGCGAACGUUGUUCGGAUUCACUGGGCUUAAAGGGCGCGUAGGCGGGUGUUCAAGUCCGGGGUGAAAUCCUCCAGCUUAACUGGAGAAUAGCCCUGGAUACUGAAUGUCUUGAGGAAGGUAGGGGCAUGUGGAACUUCCGGUGGAGCGGUGAAAUGCGUAGAUAUCGGAAGGAACGCCGGUGGCGAAAGCGACGUGCUGGACCUUUUCUGACGCUGAGGCGCGAAAGCCAGGGGAGCAAACGGG